AGAGUUUGAUCCUGGCUCAGAGCGAACGCUGGCGGCAGGCUUAACACAUGCAAGUCGAGCGGAUGUAGCAAUACAUCAGCGGCAGACGGGUGAGUAACACGUGGGAACGUACCUUUUGGUUCGGAACAACACAGGGAAACUUGUGCUAAUACCGGAUAAGCCCUUACGGGGAAAGAUUUAUCGCCGAAAGAUCGGCCCGCGUCUGAUUAGCUAGUUGGUGAGGUAAUGGCUCACCAAGGCGACGAUCAGUAGCUGGUCUGAGAGGAUGAUCAGCCACAUUGGGACUGAGACACGGCCCAAACUCCUACGGGAGGCAGCAGUGGGGAAUAUUGGACAAUGGGCGCAAGCCUGAUCCAGCCAUGCCGCGUGAGUGAUGAAGGCCCUAGGGUUGUAAAGCUCUUUUGUGCGGGAAGAUAAUGACGGUACCGCAAGAAUAAGCCCCGGCUAACUUCGUGCCAGCAGCCGCGGUAAUACGAAGGGGGCUAGCGUUGCUCGGAAUCACUGGGCGUAAAGGGUGCGUAGGCGGGUCUUUAAGUCAGGGGUGAAAUCCUGGAGCUCAACUCCAGAACUGCCUUUGAUACUGAAGAUCUUGAGUUCGGGAGAGGUGAGUGGAACUGCGAGUGUAGAGGUGAAAUUCGUAGAUAUUCGCAAGAACACCAGUGGCGAAGGCGGCUCACUGGCCCGAUACUGACGCUGAGGCACGAAAGCGUGGGGAGCAAACAGGAUUAGAUACCCCCGUAGUCC
Molecule: ribosomal RNA, 744 nt
Filed under: uncultured bacterium
Lineage: Bacteria
Description: bacterial SSU rRNA
Rfam family: Bacterial small subunit ribosomal RNA
Source: RNAcentral